This 383-nucleotide ribosomal RNA is filed under the name uncultured soil bacterium. RNAcentral's name for it is "bacterial SSU rRNA". It matches the Rfam family "Bacterial small subunit ribosomal RNA", at positions 26 to 419 of the family's 1533-position model. The record is from RNAcentral.
AGAUUGAACGCUGGCGGCAUGCCUAACACAUGCAAGUCGAACGGGAGUAGCAAUACUCUAGUGGCGGACGGGUGAGGAAUACGUAGGAAUUUGCCCUUAAGUGGGGGAUAACCCGGGGAAACCCGGAUUAAUACCGCAUGACCUCGAAAGAGCAAAGUGGGGGAUCGCAAGACCUCACGCUUUUGGAGAAGCCUACGUCGGAUUAGCUAGUUGGUGAGGUAAUGGCUCACCAAGGCGACGAUCCGUAACUGGUCUGAGAGGAUGAUCAGUCACACCGGAACUGAGACACGGUCCGGACUCCUACGGGAGGCAGCAGUGGGGAAUAGUUGGACAAUGGGCGCAAGCCUGAUCCAGCAAUGCCGCGUGUGUGAAAGACGUCCGUU